CCUACGGGUGGCUGCAGUGGGGAAUAUUGGACAAUGGGCGAAAGCCUGAUCCAGCCAUGCCGCGUGUGUGAAGAAGGCCUUCGGGUUGUAAAGCACUUUCAGUGGGGAAGAAAGCCUUGGGGCUAAUACCCUCGAGGAAGGACAUCACCCACAGAAGAAGCACCGGCUAACUCCGUGCCAGCAGCCGCGGUAAUACGGAGGGUGCGAGCGUUAAUCAGAAUUACUGGGCGUAAAGCGCGCGUAGGCGGUCUGAUAAGCCGGUUGUGAAAGCCCCGGGCUCAACCUGGGAACGGCAUCCGGAACUGUCAGGCUAGAGUGCAGGAGAGGAAGGUAGAAUUCCCGGUGUAGCGGUGAAAUGCGUAGAGAUCGGGAGGAAUACCAGUGGCGAAGGCGGCCUUCUGGACUGACACUGACGCUGAGGUGCGAAAGCGUGGGUAGCAAACAGGAUUAGAUACCCCUGUAGUC
Molecule: ribosomal RNA, 465 nt
Filed under: Vreelandella stevensii
Lineage: Bacteria; Pseudomonadati; Pseudomonadota; Gammaproteobacteria; Oceanospirillales; Halomonadaceae
Description: partial 16S ribosomal RNA
Rfam family: Bacterial small subunit ribosomal RNA
Source: RNAcentral